Molecule: non-coding RNA, 125 nt
Filed under: Spirochaetota bacterium
Lineage: Bacteria; Pseudomonadati; Spirochaetota
Description: Spirochaetes bacterium MoCo sequence
Rfam family: Molybdenum/Tungsten riboswitch aptamer (Moco RNA motif)
Source: RNAcentral
UCUCAGUGUCAUCUCCGAGUUUCACUGGACCUACAGCUGGUGGGCAGCCAUGGCCGGAAACCGAUGAGCCGCAGGCGAAAGGCUGCGACUUCCCGUAUUUGGAAAGGAACAUGACCAUGAACAAC